GAUUGCUUUUAAUGAUGGAUUUAUAAUAGAUACAUCUAUCACAAAAAAUAUGUCAUAAAUCUGAUCCAUAUGCUAAUCCAUUGCCAUUGAUCCUGACAUGGAUGAGCAACUUUUCUUUUAACAAUGAGUAAGAUGGCAUCGGAUCAAGAUCUAUGACUAAGUUGUUCGAAAGUGGUGGCAAGCAAAGGCAUAUGGAGAGAGAGAUGACUAAGAGCAGUGCAAUCAAUAUUGAGAGGUGGGGAUAGAGAUCGGGAAAGAGGUGGAUAACCAAGGAUGAUAUGGAGAAAUAGGAUUAGACCUAGAGGGUGGUGGAGGAGGCAAGGGGGAUCGAGAUAGAGGUGAGUGGCCAGAGGUGGAGGAGAUCGGGAAAGAUGCAACCAAGCUAGAAAGGGAUUAGAAGAUAGGUAGCCAAUUGUGGGGGAAGG
This 425-nucleotide long non-coding RNA is filed under the name Elaeis guineensis (African oil palm). RNAcentral's name for it is "long non-coding RNA (EGUI_LNC002854)". Lineage: Eukaryota; Viridiplantae; Streptophyta; Magnoliopsida; Arecales; Arecaceae. The record is from RNAcentral.